RNAcentral lists this unclassified non-coding RNA (213 nucleotides) under soil metagenome. RNAcentral's name for it is "partial contains 5.8S ribosomal RNA, internal transcribed spacer 2, and large subunit ribosomal RNA". The record is from RNAcentral.
AACCUAGCACACCUGCGGUGUGUACCUGCGGAGGGAUCAUUACUGAGUGUAAAAACUCCAAACCCAUGUGAACUUACCACUGUUGCCUCGGCGCAGUUUCCUGUCUGGUGGCGAGAGCUGCUGGGCGGGUUGCGCCGGUGGACUACCAAACUCUUGUAAUUUUGGCAUUCUGAAUAAAAAACUUAAUAAGUUAAAACUUUCAACAAUGGAUCU